Molecule: long non-coding RNA, 1629 nt
Organism: Homo sapiens (human)
Lineage: Eukaryota; Metazoa; Chordata; Mammalia; Primates; Hominidae
Gene: PURPL
Product: p53 upregulated regulator of p53 levels
Source: Ensembl
CUCUUGAGCUCUUGUGGUGACCUGGGAAUCAAUGUGUGAGGUGGUGCUAUGUAGCAGGAACCCCUCUUGCUUUGCAAAUAGUUUUUUGUUUGUUUUCCUUUUUGCCCAAUAGAGCCCUGCUCUACUGACCCUUCAAUGUGCCCGUGUGCCUAAAUAUUCCUGGUCGUGUGAAAAGAACCCAGGUAUUAGCUGAACUAAGGAGCACAAUUCUGCAACAUUUUGGCACCCAAACACGGGGCUUGAGAAAUGAAUGCAAUUGGAGAAACUGGUUGUUUUACCAGGCGUUGAUUGGAAAUGUGUGCUUCCCUUUAAGCAGUCAAGCUCAACUUGCAGAACUGAUGGGAACCCCUUGGGAAAACUGGCCUCAAAUGUUUGUCUACACAGUCCACAUACAGGGUUCUUAACCUGCGACUGACCCUGCUUGUGCCUGUGAACCAACCAACAAUCUCUGGCUGCAGCUCAGAAAGGACAAAAGAGAAUGGCAUAUUUAACUAUCCGGCUAUUUUGGAGAUUGAAAAAAGAAGACCUGAUUUAUCAUGUGCAAUAUCUCACACAUCUGUCAUUUCUAUUCUACCGCAAUUCGAUGGAGUCUUGUUCUGUGGUCCAGGCUAGAGGGCAGUGGCAUGAUCUCGGCUCACUACAAGCUCUGCCUCCCGGGUUCACGCCAUUCUCCUGCCUCAGCCUCCUGAGUAGCUGGGACUACAGGCGCCCGCCACCACGCCUGGCUAAUUUUUUGUAUAUUUACUAGAGAUGGCUAGUGUUAGCCAAGAUGGUCUCGAUCUCCUGACCUCGUGAUCUGCCCACCUCAGCCUGCCAAAGUGCUGGGAUUACUGGCGUGAGCCACCGUGCCUGGCCAGCAUCCUCUAAUUAUUAUUCAUAGUUUGUGAAUUUAGGCCUACGUGAAUAAUAAUAUAAUAUUUACUAUGAUGUUACUAUCUACCAACCUUAUUUUUCUUUUCUAUAAAAUAGGAGCCAAAAUAAUAUUUAUGUCAUACCUUAUGAAGUUAAAAUAAAAUAUAACGAAUGAGGGGCUUAACAAUGAGUGUCAUUUUGUAAUUACUUUGUACCAUUAUUAAUUGCUGAGACAGAAUAUGGUAUCACUAGUCAUCUGUAUCUAUUGCACAACUUUAUUUUGAUUCAUUCCUUACUAUUUUGCAUAGAUAGGCCUAAAUUUUUGAUCCACUGCUCAACUCCUGUCUUUAAACCAUUGGUUCUCAAAUAGAGUUGAUUUUGACACCUAGGGAACAUUUGACAACAUAUGGAGAUAUUGUUGAUUUUACAGGGCAACCCUUCAUAAGCACAGAAUUAUCUGGCCCCAAAUGUCGACAGUGUCAAGUUCGAGAAACUCUGCACUAGGCUUUUCUGUCUGGUUACUCACCCCUCUUCUUUGCACUGCCCCCAGUUUUAUGGAUAUUGAAUUCCUGAUUUCUCACUAUAUUAAUUGCACUUAUAGAUAUUCUAAAUUGAUUUGUAUAUAUCUUCCUAGUUUGACCCAUUGCUUUUAACUGAAUUUUACUGGGCUUUUAUAAAGGCCAUUUCCAUGGAGUUUAGUCAUUAUCUUCACCAAAUUUUUAUUUGCUUCAGUCUGGGGAGGAACUCUAUAUUAAAAAAUAAAAACAAACCCAAAAA